ACUCAAAGGAAUAGACGGGGGCCCGCACAAGCGGUGGAGCAUGUUGUUUAAUACGUCACUAACCGUAGAACCUUACCAGGGUUUGACAUCCCGCGCCAUCUCAUGAAAGUGGGUUUCCCCUUACGGGGACGCGGAGACAGGUGUUGCAUGGCUGUCGUCAGCUCGUGUCGUGAGAUGUUGGGUUAAGUCCCGCAACGAGCGCAACCCUCAUCCCAUGUUGCCAGCGAGUAAAGUCGGGAACUCUUGGGAAACUGCCGAUGCAAGUCGGAGGAAGGUGAGGAUGACGUCAAGUCAGCAUGGCCCUUACACCCUGGGCUACAAACAUGCUACAAUGGACGGUAGACAGACGGACCCGAGCUCGUGAGAGGGAGGCAAUCCGAAAAAUCCGUUCUCAGUUCGGAUCGCAGGCUGCAACUCGCCUGCGUGAAGCCGGAAUCGCUAGUAACCGCAGGUCAGCUAAACUGCGGUGAAUACGUUCCCGGGCCUUGCACACACCGCCCGU
RNAcentral lists this ribosomal RNA (502 nucleotides) under uncultured bacterium. RNAcentral's name for it is "partial 16S ribosomal RNA". It matches the Rfam family "Bacterial small subunit ribosomal RNA", at positions 899 to 1397 of the family's 1533-position model. The record is from RNAcentral.